Molecule: ribosomal RNA, 484 nt
Filed under: uncultured bacterium
Lineage: Bacteria
Description: partial 16S ribosomal RNA
Rfam family: Bacterial small subunit ribosomal RNA
Source: RNAcentral
GAUGAACGCUGGCGGCGUGCUUAACACAUGCAAGUCGAACGGUGAAGCAGGAGCUUGCUCUUGUGGAUCAGUGGCGAACGGGUGAGUAACACGUGAGCAACCUGCCCCUGACUCUGGGAUAAGCGCUGGAAACGGCGUCUAAUACUGGAUAUGUGAUGUGACCGCAUGGUCUGCAUCUGGAAAGAAUUUCGGUUGGGGAUGGGCUCGCGGCCUAUCAGCUUGUUGGUGAGGUAAUGGCUCACCAAGGCGUCGACGGGUAGCCGGCCUGAGAGGGUGACCGGCCACACUGGGACUGAGACACGGCCCAGACUCCUACGGGAGGCAGCAGUGGGGAAUAUUGCACAAUGGGCGGAAGCUUGAUGCAGCAACACCGCGUGAGGGAUGACGGCCUUCGGGUUGUAAACCUCCUUUAGCAGGGAAGAAGCGAAAGUGACGGUACCUGCAGAAAAAGCACCGGCUAACUACGUGCCAGCAGCCGCCGUAA